CCAUCAAGUUUAAAAACAAGGUAAAGAUAUAUCAUGAAAGAGUUUGAAUAAUAAGCUGGCUAUCCUUCACAAUGUAUUCGUGAAUUAGCAUGAACAAAAUUUUGACUGAACAAGUAUUGAACAUGAACAAUAAUAUAUCUGGACCAACUGGUAAUGAAGGUGAUCAACCUUUCAUACCCGACUUAUAUAUAAAAGAUGUACAGAGUACAAUUCAUAAGCAUAUCUGUCUGAAACCACUCUUAAAAAGUUUAAGUAAAAAGAAAAACUUGCCUGAAUCGUUGAUUACCGUAACGCAAUAUAAUACGCUUCUCUUGAAGACCUAAUUAAUAAUAUAGAUCUCCAAUAUUAGAAUAAUAUCAUCACCGUUAUAAAAUAACUUAAACACAUAAUCCUAUCAGUCUAUACAGCAUAUAAAACCUAUAAUAGAUCUUUCGGUUAGUCAUAACAUAUAGUUAAGUAUUAGACAUUAGUUUUAAGUCUU
Molecule: long non-coding RNA, 481 nt
Filed under: Panax ginseng (ginseng)
Lineage: Eukaryota; Viridiplantae; Streptophyta; Magnoliopsida; Apiales; Araliaceae
Description: long non-coding RNA (PGIN_LNC017087)
Source: RNAcentral